AUUGAACGCUGGCGGCAGGCCUAACACAUGCAAGUCGAGCGGAGCGGCGGACGGGGGAGUAAUGCCUAGGAAUCUGCCUGGGAGUGGGGGAUAACGUCCGGAAACGGGAGCUAAUACCGCAACCUAUCGGAAGAGCCUAGGUCGGAUUGGCUAGUUGGUGGGGUAAAGGCCUACAAAGGCGACGAUCCGUAACUGGUCUGAGAGGAUGAUCAGCCACACUGGAACUGAGACACGGUCCAGACUCCUACGGGAGGCAGCAGUGGGGAAUAUUGCACAAUGGGCGCAAGCCUGAUGCAGCCAUGCCGCGUGUAUGAAGAAGGCCUUCGGGUUGUAAAGUACUUUCAGCGGGGAGGCGUUACCCGCAGAAGAAGCACCGGCUAACUCCGUGCCAGCAGCCGCGGUAAUAC
Molecule: ribosomal RNA, 407 nt
Filed under: uncultured bacterium
Lineage: Bacteria
Description: partial 16S ribosomal RNA
Rfam family: Bacterial small subunit ribosomal RNA
Source: RNAcentral